UCUCCCCACGUUUUUCACGAUCUGAGGACUGGUCCCUUUAAGGCAUCGAAACUCAGUGAACGUUCUACGGCCGGCCUAGCGGCCUUCCCGAGGCGCGCUUACGUCACCUUCCGGGAAGCGGCUGACGUCACCGCGUCCUCGGCGGGUGGGGGCGGAGCCAUGACUCACCCGGCCGGCGGCCCUGGCCCGGCUGCGCAGGGUGUACGUGAGUGCGCGUCGCGCUCGUUUCUAAUUUUAGCUCCGGCGGCCCUGGUGGGGUCCGGCGAGAAAUACCACAUUGGCCUUGGUAAAUUGGAGAUUUUUCAGAUAUAAAUAUGGAAACUGCAAGAAUUUAGGGCAUUAUUCCUUAUUCGGUAUGCAUCUUAACAGUUUAAAAAGGACUAACAGUUUACAAUCCAACAACUGAAUACAUCCAGAGCUCUGUACCAAGAACUAUGUAGAAAAUAAAGGUAAAGGAAGAAAACAUGGUCCGUGUUCUUGAAGACUUUAUAAUCAUGUUGGGAAGAAAUAAUGUACACAUGUGAAACUACUAGAAAAUUUCUUCUGGUAACAUUUAUUUAGAUCUUUCACGAAUGUCACUUCAUUGUUUUCACCAGAGCGUGAGCUCCUCUAUGGCGUCACAGUGGACGAGUGAGUCACCGAAUCCCUGUGGUGAGAGGCACGGGGGAAGGGCCUUCUGCAGAGAUAGGCUAACUCGCCCUGGGCCUGGCUGCCUCCUCAGGCCCACCUGAGGGUGAGUGCUGUCCAAUGAGGGUGAGGGCAGGGGGGAAAGGGAGAAAGCCUCCAGCUGGGGAAAGUGGAUGCCUCGCAGUGGAUUUGUGUAGAUCUCAAAGGGCUCCAGAAUUCACUUUCUGCCUGCCACCGAAUUUCCUAGGGUGCUUCUGAGUCAGGCUCCGGGUCACUCCCUGAGCCCUUUCCAAGGCUUUUGCAUAACCCUCCCAAAACAAGGUCAGCCAAAGAAUAUUUCACAGUUUGGGUGAAUCCUCUUCUCUCUACCUUUGAAUCACAAAAGAGGAAGGUGAUAAAAAUUUAAACUUAAGAGAGAGGAAGAUUUAGCUUAGGUGUUGCAGUUCUGUUGGGAUUGUUUUUUUUCCCUUAAAAACUAUACACUGCCAUGAUCAUGAGGAAAGCUCCAGCCUUAAAAGUUGACUCUUUUGGUCAUAAAUGUGACUGUGUUAGAAGGACUAGUAUGAGAAAAUGUCUGUCGAAGAAUAGCAGGUAAUCUCCUUAGACAGAUGUCACUGAAGGUCACCUGACAAGGCCGACCCUCCCCUGUCUGCUCCUGGGUGCAGCGUGAGGACUUCUUUGAUGUACCCAAACCCACAGGUUAGGAUGGAGCACACACACAGGGCUCAGGAUACUUGGUCUGCAGACGUUGAAAUGCCCGUAGCAUGGACACUGUGAAAACCAGCUCACUUCACUGGUGGUCACUUGUCUAGUCAUCCAUAUUUUGCAAACAGCUAAAGGUCAGGAUGCAAAAGCAGACUGCUGGGCAGCAAAAAUUGGAGUCCAUAGUGUCGUUCACUGUGAAGCUCACCCCCUCUCCAACAGGAGAGCCCAUCUGGCUUUUUCAGGUACUGUUGACUCCUACUUUAAUCGUAAUUCUAACAUGAUAAACGCUUCUAUUUCUCAACCCAAACCACAUUAGAAGGAUAUAAGUUGGAAGGACAGAAGAGCCUCUAGAGCUGAGAUGUUCAGUACUUUGAGGGUUAAUGACCUCUCUGAGAAUCUAAACUGUGAACUCUAGCCCCAGAAAGGUGCUUUCACAUCCAGUGUGUUCUGUGCAGUACCAGGUGGUUCUUAGCCCCUGAGGCUCAACCAUAAAACCCAGAUUAAGAACCCCAGCUGUAGAGACUGGCACACCUGUGAGCUGACCGCUCGGACCUUGGAGAGCAGACACAAUGACUCUAACCCUGCUGCCUGUCCCUCGCCUGAUGGAGCAGACGCCGCCAUCCCUGACAGGUGGUGGUGUUCCUCACAGUGGCCCUGUCAGGGCCCAGGUGUGCUUGACGCACCCACCUAAGCAAGCAGGGGUGCACGUAAAACAUUUGCUGAGCGUGUCUGAUGUGUCAGGCGCUCUUCUAGGGGCUUUAUCUGUUUUAAUUCAUUGAACCCUUGCAACAGCCCUGGAAGUUAUUUCUGUAAAACCCUGGACUUAAACUCUUUUUCUCAAACUCCAUCUCUAGUGGUUAAAUCAUUAGAAAUGUAAUAUUUUUCCAGAAAAAUCACUUACUGAUACUAUUGGACACUUGCUUUGUGUCAAACACUGUGCUAAGUGUGGAUUUUACAUGUGUUAAUUCAUUUAUUUUACAUUUUUAUGGAUAAGGAAAUUGAGGCUCAGAGAGUCUAAGUAAUGUGCCUAAGGUAAUAGGGCUGUAAGUAGUGGAACUGGGAUUUGAUCCAAGUUUCUCCAUUUCUAAACCCUUCGAUAGGAGUUAUUGUGCUCUACUCCUCUCUCCAUUGUGGGGUUAUGGUCUAUAUACUCACAACUACCUAGAACGAUGGAGGUUUGGUUAGCAAAGCUCUGAAAAGAAUGUCUAGGACAAUUCCUUCAACGGAUUUGUCGGGGCCCAGCAUUAAUUUGCCCACUGCUCACCCAUGCUGUAUAAUCUGCCAGUCCAGGACACAGACCCUGGUGGUGUGGGGUAAUACAAAGAGCAAGGAAGACUUCCAGUUAAACAUGGAGGCUUGAUCUCCUGCAUUUAUUUUCUCUCCCUCUAUCAUAGAUUUUUUUUUUGUAAAGAUGGCUGCAACAAUUUUUCUUAUUCUUGCAUACAUACCCCUUUACAGUGCAACUUUGCCACUCUUCCCAUCAAGAAAAAAGGUCUUGAAUCUGGGUUGACUUGCUUUGACUGAUAGAAUUCAGUGGAAGUGAUACUGCAUGACUUCUGAGGCUCGGCCUUAGGAGAUCUUGCAGCUUCUGCCUUGAAUCUUUUGGAACAUUGCCCUGAGAUCAUGUCUUAAGAAAGCUAGUCUAGUUUAUUGGAAGAUGAGGGGCCAGUGGAGGAGAACCGAGGCAUCCCUGUCAACAGGCAGCAGCAGCCACCAGGCUUAUGAACAGUCCAGCUUGUAUUUUCCAGCCCAACCAACUGCUAACUGAAUGCAGCUGCAUGAGCGAGCCCAGGUGAAACCAUCAGAGGACCCACCCAAUUAACCCACAGCAUAAUGAAAAGUAGUAAAUUAUUGUUGUUAUAAGCCACUAAGUUUUGGGGUGAUUUGUUAUAAUGAUCAUGGAUAACUGAUACAGCCCUCCUAAAUUCUACGUCAUUCCCCUCUUUCCCCAAAUAGCCACUAAUAGUGGAAUUCCAAAGGCUUUAAGCCAAAAGGGUGAAGAGAAGAGAGAAUACCAUUGCAGGGGAAAGACUUCCAAACGCUUUCCAGAUGGGCAUGUGGGUAGAGGAGCAGUCUCUGAGUGGAGCUGGGAAAGUCAGAGUCCACAUGUGUACAAGAGAGGAAAAUGAUGAGAAGUGGACCAAGGAGCCCCACAGAGUCUGCGAGGGUUGGGUGCUAAGAGGUACCAGGUACCACAGAAAACAGGAGUGAGGCCCAGGGCUCAGAAAUGCAAGCACCACCCCCUCCUGGUCUCUUUUUCCAUGCAAGAGACCAAAAGCCAUUAUCUGGAGAAGAUGACUUGGAGAUGCUCUGGACUCCAGGACUAGUCACAGCAGAGGGUGACAGUGAGGUAGGAGCUUGAAAACUGGGAGAGUAAUCAAAAACUAAGUAAAUUAUGGCCCCUUAGACUCUCUGCCUGCUCCCAGGACACCAGCAGCUAAGUGUCACUUCCCUUCCAGGCAGACGAUGGAAGAUUCUUCUCUGGAUAGAUUGAAUUCUUCAUCACCCCCAUCCUCUGUUCCUAGGAAAGGAUCUCCACAAAAUGUUACUUGAGGUUUCCCAGUAAAGCAGCCUUCUAGCCAUCUGGUCACCCUACUGUGAAGUCUACUAGACUAUAGGCUUGCCUUGCUCUUUAAUAUGGAGGGUCAUCAGACAUUUGAAAUGAAAGAGAGGUCAAAACAAACAGAAAAGAAGGAAACAACAUACAGCAAGCCGAAAAACCUUAAAAUAACUUUUUAGAAGAACCUAUAAAGUAGUAACCUCAGGAAAAUAUGACAUAAAAAUAGAACUCCGUGAGAAAGGAACAGAAAAGAAAGAGUUCUUGAAAAAUUUAAAUAUGAUAACUAAAGUAAAAAAAAAAAAAAUCUCAACAGAAGGUGCCCAGCACAGUAAGCAAAAAACAAGUUCACCCCAGAAGCACAUCAGUAUCAAAUUUUAGAACACAAAGGAUAAAGAGAACAUCAUGAAAGCCCCAGAAAGAAAAAAAACCCUAACAGACAAAGGAAUGGGAAUUAGAAGGGCAUCAAACUUCUCUCCAGAUACACUGGAUAGAGCGUAAUGGGAAAAUGCCCUCAAAAUUCUGAAGGAAAAUUAUUUCAACCAGGAUUUUAUAUUCAGCCAAAUGAUCAAUCAAAUGUGACGGGAAAGUAAAGACACUUUUAGACAUGCAGGACUCAAAACCUGGGCUCAUCGUGAAAGAGGAAGCCCAUGGCAUCCAGGAACAGGGGCUCUAGCAAAGGAAAGGGCAGAGGGAAGUCUCAGGACCAAGAGCAAGGAGCCAGCCCAGCCUGAGCGGUGGAACCAGCACGGGGAAGGGAAGUUUCCGGGCCAAGGGACACAGGGCAAGGACUGGCAGAUUAUACAGCAUGGGUGAGCAGUGGGCAAAUUAUUGCUAGGCCCCGAUAGAUCCAUUGAAGGAAUUGGGGGAAAUUGUUAUACGUAGAAGAAACUAAGAAGUGGGAAAAGGGUGGGGGAUUAUUUUUGAAAAAAUGCAUGAGGAAAGGUAUUUAGGUGGAUAUUUUGAAAUCUAGAGUAAAAAGCAGAAAAAAAGAAGCUACUGAGUUGGAAGUGGUUGCUUCUGGGGAGCAGGGCACAGGAGUAGAGAGGGUUGAACUAUGGGCCACUGGCUUUCACCAUGCCUUUUAGCCCUAUUUGAUGUUUAACUAUGGGAAUAGGUCACUUUAAUCAAAUAAACAUACAUUUUUAUGCAAAAAUAAAGAGCAUGGGCUCUAGCGUCCAAUUACCUGGGUUCAGAUCUCUCUUACUCUCUUACUGAUGGCAGGGCCUGGCUUGAGCCAGUGGCUCCUUAUCUACCUUGUUUACAAGGUAGAUAAGUUUCCUUAUCUACCUUGUAAAACUGAGGUGAGGGUUAAACAUAAUUUCUGUUAAGGGCCUGGCCCUUUACAGAAUGUAUGAUCAAUAAAUCAUAGCCAUUAUGAUUUUUAAGACUUCUGAGAAAUUCCAUGGUAGAAUGAAAGCAAACUCCACUGCCCCAUGUUUGGGAGGAGCUGAGAAAACCUGGAUAAAUGUCACCUUUGUGUUUGCUAGUAUGUUCUCCAGCUGUUGUAAAGCUGCAGACAUUCUGCGGGCUCCCACCCCACCCCCUCGCGCUCUUGGUCACUAGUGUCAUCACAGUCACCUUCCAGAGUGGCUUAGGAGAAGCUGGGCAUGCGGCAGAGAGUGGCUUUUCACAUAAAGGCCCGGUUCAUUCCCAGGGGCUGCUUGCAGGUUUUCCUUCUGAAGCAGUCGUCCCUCACAGCAAGUUGCCUCCAUGGGAGGGAUCCAAAAGCAGCUCCAGGUAGGGACAUUGGUGCAGGGCAGGCAGAAGGCAGCUCCAGGCUCAGCGGGGGGCGGGGAGCACGUGGGCAUCAGGCAGAAAAGUCCAGUCCCUGACCUGCCAGGGUCCUGGGCUCAGAGCCACCACAGUGAUCUGGUGCCCCACCCAACUAAGGGGGCCUCGAAGGAGGGCCUGGGGCUGCGUUUGCUCACCCCCUGGCCUAAAUAUAUACACAUACUUAUUUAAACAAACAUAUUGAAUGGGGAGAAGUCUGGAGAGAGAGAGGUACCCUAAAAUGUUAACCAGAAUUCUCUCUAAAUGGUGGCAUUUGAAGUGAUUUUCAUUUCUUCUUACUCAUCUGUAUGUUUCAAUUCUGGUAAAAUGAUCAUACAUUCCCUUUGUAGUUUUAAUUAAUAAUAAUGACAAUAAAGAACAAGGUGAUGAAUCCCUGAAAAGGGAAUGGGUACAUGAGGAAGGAAAGUUCUGUGGCCCCUAAAACGCACGAAUGACCUUCAGCCUGAGAGACUUGGUAACAGCAGGGAAAACGCCAGCCCCCUGCCAGCCAGUGUUCCAAGAUUUCAGAGACCCCUGCUUUGGGAGGGGUGCAAAUGGGUGGUGGCGGGGCAGAAUGACAGAAAACAGCUAAAGCCUCAAUAACCCCUAAUGCACGCAAGGUGCUGCUCUACGCUCGAACUCACUUAAUCCUCACAGUGACCUCUUGAGGUAGGGUCACUUGUCAUCCAACCUUAGUUUUUCCUUUUCUCCUUCACAGGUCCAGCCAAAUAGGAGUGACUUGCUGUCUCCCAUACGUGACCCUUAGUUUCCACUUCCUUGGAAUUUUGUCUCCAUGCCUUUGUUCAAGCUCUUUCCUCUUCCUAAACGCUUCCUCUCCUGUUUUCACACGCAUAACGUCUCUGAGAGGGAGAGCAAGGCAGGAUACUAACUCUUUCCUCAAGUAACCUCCGUCCCCUCUGAAUUCUUUUUUUUUUCCCCUCUGAAUUCUUAGAAUUCUCACUUGGCAACACCGUUCUGCCGGCUUCAUAAUUAGUGCUGCAAGUUAUGUUACAGUACAUCAGCCCGGGUGCUCGGAAGAGGCAUACAGAGUGGGGCAAGACGUGGUCCCGGCCCUGAGGGGCUUUCUGCCAGCCUAGGGAGAAGAUGCCAACACAGCCAAGUACCCACAAUAGAGAAAGGCCUUUAGAUUAAGUGCUAGGGAGAGGAAGAGGGUCUGGGUUCUGCAGGGAGGCCUCCCAGAGGAGGUCAAGUGAACCGAAGGGGCCUUGAAAGGUGCCUGGGAUUCCAGCAGGUGGAGAGGGAGAGGAAGGGGCCCCAGCGAGGGAGGCAGGAGGGGUGAUGCUGCGCUGUAGUUUAGGGAGCGUGAACUGGUAAGGGCAGGGUUCCCGCUGGCUCAUCUUUGCCUCCCCAGAACAGUUCCUGGCCACAGGACACGUCUCUCCUGGCCCAUGGUGAGUGUCACAGGGCCAGCCACAGUGAGCAUCAGAGACACCAGGCUGAUGCACUGCCCCGGGAAGAGCCUCCCCCCCAUCUCACCAGGUAGUGCCCAUAGUGUGUAGGCAGAGAAUAUCUAUAAAUGAGUGGUGGGCAGCCCAUGAAAGGACUCCUGGGCCUGCUCCCAACUGUCAGGGCCCUUUGUGAGCUGCAGCAAGGCACUUCUCCUCUCUGGUCCUUUGUUUCCCCAGCUGUCAGGUGAGAUGACCUUGAAGGUACAGGGAAUCCUAUGGCAAGGGGAUGAAGCCCAUCGGCCAUGGAGCCAGGACGCCUGGGCACAAAUCUCCAGCUUCCUGAGUGACAUCAGUUGUGCAUUUUGACAAGAACACCACAGAAGUGAUGCUGUGCCCCUCUCAGUGCAUCGUAUCAGGCCGCACGUGAGGCUGAUAUGUUGUGGUACUCGUUAUGUUGACUGUGAUCACCCGAGUAAGGUGGGGUCUGCCAGGUUUUCCACUGUAAAGGUAGUCUUUUCCCCUUUGCUACUAAUAGGCAUCUUGUAGGGAACUACUUUGAGAUGAUGUAAGCAUCCUGUUUCUCAUCUUAUUUUUACCCACAAAUGUUUGUUUCCGUUGAUGAGUCUUGCUUAAAACAAUCACGACCGUGGGUGUCUGCCAAAUGGUGGUUUUCUAUUUCCUUCACACCUUCUAAUGUUCAUCAACUGAAAUUUUUCUGUAAGAACCCUUUUCCCUUACUUGUUUAUUCAAACAUUUAUAUCAGUAUAGACACAUUAUUUCCUAUUUUUCUCUUGUUCUAUAAGUUAUAAUCUGUUGUGAUCUUUUUUUUUUUUAUUUGCUCAAAUUAUCUCAGAUUUGGCCAUCGGGAGCUCCUUCAAGUUGGCUACUGUGUUCAACAGGAAAGUUUUGAGCAAAAUUUAUGACCAAGUUAUGAUAAUGAGGCAUAGGGACUUGUAAGGAGAAGGGAGAGGAGAGGCUUCCAGGCCUGGAGGGCAACCAUGGGCUCUAUACCCAGUGCUCUCUGAGGAUGCUUGCCAGCCUCUGGGCUGGCUACUCCUGACCAUGAGGGUCAGGAAUAUGCAGCCACGUGCCUUGUUCAGGUAGAGAGACCUCCACUGAAGGUGCCCCACCUCUGUCAUGACCUUCCCAGGGACCAACCAGCAGGCUGCAGCUGCUACGGCACUUGGGCUGUUAAUGCAUCUGCCUGGCUUUGCCCAAGAGGGGCCCUCCGCCAUGUGCACGGACACCUCCACCUCCAGCCACCUGCUGUCUGCUGCUGCCCCGCCAGACCUGCCGUCACCCAGGGGCGUGGGGUCCCCACUGCUCAGUCCCUAGCUGACUGAAGCGUGUUCCUUUGACCUCCUUGCCUGAAGGGGUUGUAUCCGGGGAGGUGGCGAGGCUCUCAGAGCUGUGGAGUGACAAAACCACUUGGCCUGGAGACCAUCUAGGUGAGACGGGCUAUCGUUUUGACUGGCUAGCUGUCGUUUUUUCAAUCCAGGGCCUCUGUGAAGUCUUGAGGGGAUGCCCAAAAGGUAAAGUAGGUUGGAGCGGGCGAAGGGGCAGGGGAGUGGCAGUUGGAUGACCAUCAUUCUGGUCCAGGCCCCUCCCCUGUUGACAGGGAUGGAGCUGAACCCCAAAGGGAAAAUGGCUUAUCUAAGGUCACAGGGACACUUGGUGGCUAGGCAGGACCAGGACUCAGUGCCCAGAAUCCUUGUGUCCUCCUCACCAUUACACAUUCCCAACCUGCUCUGCUUCUUGUUUAUCAAUGGCUGAUGAGGCCGUAGUCUGUGUUUCCUUGUCCGUUUCCCUUGUUCCCACGGCAGGCGGAGAGACGGAGGCCAGUCUUCCAGCCCCUUCUGAGGCAGGGCCUCUAGGCACAUGAGCAGCACUGACCCUUCACCCCCAGGGAAGGGGAGCUGUCCUGGGUCAUUUAGCAAAGCAAGCCUGAACUCACCUUGUAAUCUCUCCUGGCUGGAGGCCCAUGACCUCACCCAGACCCAUCACUAGAAUCUGGCCACCUUUUCUUCCUUCUCUCCCUUCUCUUCCUUCAGUUCAGAAUGGGAAGCCUCCUUUUUUUCCUCUUUUAAAUUUCACAUUAACCUUUAAGAUAGGGUAAGCAUUCACGUGACUCAAAAUUCAAAAUUUACAAAAGUUACGCUGUAAGAAGCCUCCUUUCCAGUCCUGUCCUUUGGACUUCCCCUCCCGGGGCAGUCACUGUGGUUCAUAGGGUUGCUGCGAAUUAAUCCACAGAAAGCACUUAGAACCGUGGCGGGCACAUGUUACACACACAGUGCGUGCUGCAUCACUGUUUUUAUUUUUAAACUCAAUCAUAGCUUUAUCUCCCACACCCAGCACCCAAGUUUCACCUCCUCAGGCUCCCAACACUGUAGCCCUACUAGUUGUGACCAUUUUGAACUCGGCCCAUGCCUGGUGACCUUUCUGCAUCCUGUCCCUGCUACUCCUUCAGGCUGGGCAAGCCCUCCCCACCCUGCCCCCUGCUGAAAUGCCACCUAUUCUCCAAAGCCCAGCUCAGAUGCACCUUCCUUUCAAGGCCUCAGUCUCCUCCUCCUUUGUAUUUCCCCAUCCUUCUCGACUUCUGUGGUUGACUUUCCACAACCUCCUGCAUUCAUGUGAGAAUCAUAUAUGCUUUUGCCAUCCCCCAACUCAGCUGUCAACUCCCUGAGGGCAAGGCCGGGAUCUUUUUCAUCUCUGAGUUCCCUGCAGCACUUAGCAUGGAAACUUCCACGUGGGAAGUGAAUAAAUGCCUUUAAAUUUAACUGCAAAUUUGAACUCAUUGGGGAUGCAGAAUGUGGACAUGUGAAGAAAUACGUACGCUGCCCAAGCAAAUCUGGAUUGGGGUCGAGGGAAGUUGUUGAGACAACCAGACAGCAAACACGUCCCACAGAAGCUUGGCGGGACUUGGACCUGCGGCUCCUGCCCUUCCUCAACCCCAGGAGCCAUCACAGGUCUUCUGGGCUCAGGCCUGAGGCAGAGAGGUUGCUGGUUCAGACUCUCUAGCACCAUCCCGGGACUUACUUCAGAUUCGGGACCUCUCUGGACCAGCCUCGAAGGCUCAGAACCAGGCGUUGCUGAGACUUAUGCUUUUACGUGGCUCUCUCCUCACUUCCCCCCUCUUCAGGGGGGCCAGCGCCAGAGGACCCUGGAUUUCUCUCCUUCCCUCUGCUCUGGCCAUUUGCCUGGAGUCAGAGCUCAGCCUUCCCACCUUCCACUAACCUUGGGUCCAUGGGCAAUCACUUCCCAGACCCAUGGAGGGCCAGGACUGAGGGACUCUGCAGAGACCCCCCCCCACCCCCAUUACUUUAUGGGGAAGGAAACCCAGGCUGGAGGGUUUCUUAAUCCAUUUUUCUCACCCACCAAUUUCCAGCAACCUUCGCCUCUCUGGCCUCAGUUUGCCCAUCUGCCGAGGAGUGGGAAACAAACCCCAUUCUCCCAACCGCAGGAUGAAGACUGGGACCAGCUGGGUUUGUGAAAGGGCCUAUUACGCCAUUGCUCCAGAGGUUCUCAAGCUUGAACAUGCAUCUGAAUGCCCUGGAGGGCUUGAAAACAGAGGGAGGCUCCUCCCUCCCACCCCAGGGUUUCAGUAGGUCUGUGGUGAAGUCAGAGAAUUUGAACAUUUUCAGACGAUGCCGGAUGUGGCUGGUUCAGGGACCACACUUUGAGAAGCACUGCUCUAAAUCUCCGGAACUCACCCAAAAGAGAGGCAGUGUGUGCUGGAGCCUCUCACGCUGGCUCCAGGAAGUUGGUAGCUUGAAAUCAGCCACAGUGGGAGUAUUCACACCUCGGAAAUCAGUAAAUGCUGCAAACCAGUUUUGUUUGUUUUUUUUUGCCAGGGAGCUAGCUGGUAAACAUUUACCGGCACACCGCUGGGUAAGAGGGCAGCCUUUCUCUCCCUCUGUGCCCCAAGACUGGGGUGCCGUGCCUCAGAAACAGGACAGGAAAGCUCAAUCAGAACUCUCUGCGCCUCCAUUUCAUUGUCUGUAAAUUGGAAACACCGAUAGCAUCUACCUCACUGGCCCACAAGAAUUAAGUAAGAAAGUACCCGUGAAUCCCUUAGCAAAGUACUCGGCGUAGAGUAAGUGCUCAAAAAUAUUAGCUCUUGUCAUUAAAAUCCUUUGGAUUAUAGGGAAUCUGUAUUUUGUUCCCACAAGAUUAUAAAGUGCUAUAUAACCGUACUCCUGGGAGGGGUGGAGACCAUGCCAUUCUGAGCUUCACAGCUUUGGGGUGCCUGCUGGUACCUAGUCCUCCUUCUCUGGGGACCCCCCCCCAUUGCACAGUGUGAGCCCCACCCAGCCCCCGUUUGUAAUGUGUGACACCCCUGGCCGUAGCUGCUUACAAUAGAUACUCUGGGGUUCUCAGAGUCUCUUUCCUGGGAACUUGGACCUGGAGCCCAGAGCCAGCCUAUAACUCACCACCUCAAGGUCAGUGGGGCAAGCAGGCUCUGCCAGCAGCCAGAGGGACCAAGGAAGGGCUGCAAAGAGAAGGGGUGGAGCAGGUGGGCAGAGGCAGGCACGGGAGUGAGGUGGAGAAAGAGUCCUGAGGACACCCCCGCCUCUGAAUCUGGGCUCCUCUAGAAGUUCUGCUGCCCUGCCCUGGGCCUGCAUCCUCUCAGCCAAUGUCCACUGUGGCUUAAGUCAUAUCACGUUGGCUUCCGUUAAUUGCAACCUGAGAGUCCCAACUUCUCCACUGACUCUGCUCUUUGCUCACCCCCACCUGCCCCAGCACAGGCUUGGGGCCCGUGCCUGCUCGGCCCUGCCUGCUGUGGGCCUUGGGCAGGACUCAAGGCCUCGCUUCUUCCAUCUGCUGGUUGAAUAUGGACUUGGGCGGAAGCGAGCCUCCUUCUGAAUUUUCCCCGUUAUAUGAAGAGAAAUGAAUAUUCCCGACAUUACCUACUCAGUGUCACCCCUGCUUAAGACCCUGCAGCAGUCCCACCCCACCCCCGCUGCUCUUGGAUUGACUCCAGGCUCCCUUCCUGCACUCUAGACACUGCCUGAGCCUUUCCUGGCCCCUCUCCGACCUCCACUCUCACCUCUUGACUCUGAGGGAUAUGGACCUGCUGGCAGUUCCCCAAGACCGCGUGUUCUCUUUUGGCUUCUCUCUGUGCAGAACAGAAUUUCCCCAAGCCUACAGCCAACUACCAAGCAUUCUUCAGGCUCCCCCUUCGGUGUCACUUCCCCUGGGCCGUCUUCCCUAGCACGGCCCUGGCCGUGCCCCUGUGCCUCGCACCCUGUGCAGUCUCCCAUUGGCGCGGCCUGUACCACACCACAAGGUCCCAAGUGCAGGGGCCAGAUGCAGGCCCCUCUUGUUUCCCCAGGUUCCACAUUGUAAGGACUCAGUGGAUGGUUAAAUAAAUGUUGUGACCUGAGGAAAGGGGGGCUCCAGAAACUCAGGGGCCAUCACCAUUGUCCGUGGUGACCUCCAGAAAAUCAAGUUUCCAGAGGGAAGAAAAGGAGAGGAAGGGGUGAAGGCAGCCCUAAAAUGGGUCAGGUAGAGUGCCUGCUGGGCGAUCAGAUAGAAAGCUCUCCUGGAAGAGAAGGUGCAGAUUGAAGAGAGAGUGACAUUGGCAGGACGGAGGCAGUGUGAGGUGUAGCGGGUAAAAGCACAGAAUCGGGAGGGAAGGUGAGGAGGAGAAAGAGGAACACGAGCCCUGGACAUUGGACUCCCCUUCCUAGACCUCAGGCUGUGCUUGUUCCCUAGAGGCUCGGGCCGCGGUUGCUCAUGGACUUGCUGGUGGCUCAGCCGCACGAUCGACACGUGUGUCUAACCUGAAGGAAGUCCCCUGUAACCUCACCUAAAGGAAGCUGCUUGGAAAGUUACCGCAGAUACAGGGAUUCCCUUGCCCUACUCAGCUCGCUAAAGCCCCUCUCCAAAGCCAGCCCUGCUCGGAGGCCCUGGACAGGGAGUGGUCACGGUGCCCAGUGCCGGGCGGCGCGUCAGAAGGCCCUUGGCUUCCCCCUCACCGGCUCCAGGCUGGCUCCUUUGCGAGGCCAGCCAGAGGGCUGGAUGGCUCACCUCCCUUGGGCACAGGUCCCAUCACAGCAUUGCUCCAGCCAUGGACGUCAUUCCCCAGUUACCGCAAAAUAGGGUUACAGUUUCUCCCAUGGUGUGGAAAUCCCAGGAGCCCUCUCAACCACCUGGGCCGAAUACAGAAGUUGGGCUUCUGGUCCAUUAAAUUCCCAGUCCAGGAAGCCUCCGGUAUGAGGCUUCCUUGUAAUCUGUGAUCUAUUUUCAGGGCUGCCCAAGAAAGACUUCAUUAGUUUAGACAUUAGGACUUUAAUAGAUGAUUCUACUAAAGUUGGGUACACAAAGAAGAAGCUGAGAGAGUUUAGAGAAAGCCUACACUCACCUGCCUUCCCCAGCAACUUAAGAGCUAGUUUUACCCCUAAGAGUUUAUAAUCUAGGUGGGAAAAGAAAAUGAAGGUGCAUUACAUAAAACUGUGGAGAACAAUUAAAUAUUAACCGGUGUGGUGCUCGCUGAUUGCAACAGGACUAUAAUGUGGCUCAGAGAGCCAGUUCUGCGUCAGAGAAUUCACGGAGAAGGGAGACUAGAGCUGGGCCUGCAGCGGGGGGAUUCGGGUCAGUGGAGAAGAGAAGACAGGUGUUCCGGGGAAGGGGACCUGCAUGAGCAAUUGCCUGUAGAGUAUGCGGGACAGGAGGCCUGGAUUAAGCAGAGGUUGUACAUUAAAUGCAGGAAGAUAAGAUUAGCGAGAGGGUGAGAGAGGGGAUGCGUGUUGCAGGAGGUGGAGGCGGGGGCGGUUAUGAAGUGUUUGCACGCCAGCUCGAGGAGCUGGGGCUGAUGGAAAUGGUGGGAGGAGGGCGGGGUGAGGGAGGGGA
Delphinapterus leucas (beluga whale) is the source of this 13923-nucleotide non-coding RNA. The record is from RefSeq and is a predicted model, not a curated record. Lineage: Eukaryota; Metazoa; Chordata; Mammalia; Artiodactyla; Monodontidae.